UACGGAGGAUCCAAGCGUUAUCCGGAUUUAUUGGGUUUAAAGGGUGCGUAAGUGGCCUGUUAAGUCAGGGGUGAAAGACGGUAGCUCAACUAUCGCAGUGCCCUUGAUACUGAUGGGCUUGAAUGAACUAGAGGUAGGCGGAAUGUGACAAGUAGCGGUGAAAUGCAUAGAUAUGUCACAGAACACCAAUUGCGAAGGCAGCUUACUAUGGUUUGAUUGACACUGAGGCACGAAAGCGUGGGGAUCAAACAGG
RNAcentral lists this ribosomal RNA (253 nucleotides) under uncultured bacterium. Its description in RNAcentral is "partial 16S ribosomal RNA". It matches the Rfam family "Bacterial small subunit ribosomal RNA", at positions 524 to 776 of the family's 1533-position model. The record is from RNAcentral.